GGGAUAGCUCAGUUGGCUAGAGCACACGGUUCAUACCCGUGGUGUCGCUGGUUCAAAUCCAGUUCCCGCUA
This 71-nucleotide transfer RNA is filed under the name Dorea longicatena. RNAcentral's name for it is "tRNA-Met". It matches the Rfam family "tRNA". From Rfam's summary of the family: Transfer RNA (tRNA) molecules are approximately 80 nucleotides in length. Their secondary structure includes four short double-helical elements and three loops (D, anti-codon, and T loops). Further hydrogen bonds mediate the characteristic L-shaped molecular structure. tRNAs have two regions of fundamental functional importance: the anti-codon, which is responsible for specific mRNA codon recognition, and the 3' end, to which the tRNAs corresponding amino acid is attached (by aminoacyl-tRNA synthetases). tRNAs cope with the degeneracy of the genetic code in two manners: having more than one tRNA (with a specific anti-codon) for a particular amino acid; and 'wobble' base-pairing, i.e. permitting non-standard base-pairing at the 3rd anti-codon position. The record is from RNAcentral. Lineage: Bacteria; Bacillati; Bacillota; Clostridia; Lachnospirales; Lachnospiraceae.